Molecule: ribosomal RNA, 361 nt
Filed under: uncultured Acetobacterium sp.
Lineage: Bacteria; Bacillati; Bacillota; Clostridia; Eubacteriales; Eubacteriaceae
Description: bacterial SSU rRNA
Rfam family: Bacterial small subunit ribosomal RNA
Source: RNAcentral
GGCUCAACCUGGGAACUGCAUCUGAUACUGGCAAGCUUGAGUCUCGUAGAGGGGGGUAGAAUUCCAGGUGUAGCGGUGAAAUGCGUAGAGAUCUGGAGGAAUACCGGUGGCGAAGGCGGCCCCCUGGACGAAGACUGACGCUCAGGUGCGAAAGCGUGGGGAGCAAACAGGAUUAGAUACCCUGGUAGUCCACGCCGUAAACGAUGUCGACUUGGAGGUUGUGCCCUUGAGGCGUGGCUUCCGGAGCUAACGCGUUAAGUCGACCGCCUGGGGAGUACGGCCGCAAGUUUAAAACUCAAAUGAAUUGACGGGGGCCCGCACAAGCGGUGGAGCAUGUGGUUUAAUUCGAUGCAACGCGAAG